UUGGCACCCUCAUCGUGUGGAGUUGCGGUCGGUCCUAGGGUCAAUUGCUCGCCGAUAAUUGUGAGCACCGCGGAAACACAACCUGCCGCGGUCGACUCAUGCUUGCAGCGCCACCCCACCGUCGGCGGAUGGCCAGGGUCAACCCCUGGAGUUCAAGGAGCAUCUUUGUGGCUGUUGCGGGAGCGAUGGACAACCAUGGAGACUGGGAUUCUCCACCGCGGAUUCAUGGAUGCGGCUGACCCUCGCUUCACCGGGGACCUGGUGGCUCUGUGCAUAAAUUUUCGCCCGCGGGCGGGCCUCAGCCGAGGUGGUCAGUCGUUCAUUAGCUCCUUCAACAUUCAGCUUCGUGGGUCACAUAUGGCGUCCUACCUUCCAAUCACCCUUCCAUCCUUCGUUCGUGGCUAUGACGGGGAGUGGUUCUAUGUUUGGAACCUUGAAGGGAGUGUGCCCGUGUUCACUGGCCUUGUCCCGGCGGGCAAGCCCGAAUGGGACUACGACUCAGAGGAAAGGUUCAAGCCAAAGAUAGCGUAUAUACUAGACGUUGUUGCCAAGCAGCGCAAUCGAGGCCUUCUAGGUGAGAGGCUGAUCCGUACCUUCAUGCAACGCCAACUUCAACCUCUCGUGGCCCUCCAAAGGACAAUGUGGCAGUUCACCGGCGAGGGCGACUCUGAUCGCCACUCCACUGUGAACCUAGAGAAGGAGAAAGUGGUGGCCCGCGUUCUCGCCAUCAUGGUGCGGGUGACAUCCGACUUCAUGGACGAUAGUAGAGCAUUUUGUGCCGACGAUGAGGACCUUGGAGAGGCGUUUCAUGCUGACAAUGGCCUCGACGACAAGGGGAGUGGCCUCACGGCGAGGUUCAGCGUCGUAUUCAUCAUAGCUUCAUUUUCCGUCAUGACCCUUGUGUCACCUUUCGAGGGUUGGGCGACAACUCCGUUUCGCCGAGUUGCUCGGCAGGCGGAUGGUGGGCAACUCCGCCUCGCCGUGUUUCUUGGCAAGUGGGUUGGUCGGCAACUCCGUCUCGCAGAUUUGCUCGGCGGGUGGAUUGGUCGGUCGUCUUCGAGAGGCCUUUUGGCCUGCCUCAUCAAGUCGCUCGGCAGGCGGGUUGGUCGGUUAGUGGGCCGUCUUUGGGGGACCUUUUGGGCCUUCUUUGGGCACCCGGUUCUUAGGUACCCGAUAGUCAUGUUCAUGAAAGUAAAGCUCUCCAACUUCGUCUUUUCCCAACACGCUGCUUUAGAUGAAGGUUAG
This 1245-nucleotide unclassified non-coding RNA is filed under the name Zea mays. Its description in RNAcentral is "misc RNA Zm00001eb128500". Lineage: Eukaryota; Viridiplantae; Streptophyta; Magnoliopsida; Poales; Poaceae. The record is from RNAcentral.